CAGCAGCCGCGGUAAUACCGGCGGCCCGAGUGGCGGUCACUAUUAUUGGGCUUAAAGCGUCCGUAGCCGGGGUGGGAAGUCCUCCGGGAAAUCUGGCCGCUUAACGGUCAGAAUGCCGGAGGAUACUCCCAGCCUAGGGAGCGGGAGAGGCCGAGGGUAUUCCCGGAGUAGGGGUGAAAUCCUAUAAUCCCGGGAGGACCACCUGUGGCGAAGGCGCUCGGCUGGAACGCGUCCGACGGUGAGGGACGAAGGCCAGGGGAGCAAACCGGAUUAGAUACCCGGGUAGUCCUGGCUGUAAACGAUGCGGACUUUGUGUCGGACAAGCUAUGAGCUUGUCCGGUGCCGGAGGGAAACCGUUAAGUCCGCCGCCUGGGGAGUACGGCCGCAAGGCUGAAACUUAAAGGAAUUGGCGGG
This 414-nucleotide ribosomal RNA is filed under the name uncultured microorganism. Its description in RNAcentral is "bacterial SSU rRNA". It matches the Rfam family "Archaeal small subunit ribosomal RNA", at positions 459 to 872 of the family's 1478-position model. The record is from RNAcentral.